GCAGGCGUAGCCAAGCGGUAAGGCAAGAGGCUGCAACCCUCUGAUCCUGGGUUCAAUUCCCAGCGUCUGCU
This 71-nucleotide transfer RNA is filed under the name archaeon. Its description in RNAcentral is "tRNA-Cys". It matches the Rfam family "tRNA". Rfam says of the family: Transfer RNA (tRNA) molecules are approximately 80 nucleotides in length. The record is from RNAcentral.